AUUGAACGCUGGCGGCAUGCCUUACACAUGCAAGUCGAACGGUAACGGGUCUUCGGAUGCUGACGAGUGGCGAACGGGUGAGUAAUACAUCGGAACGUGCCUAGUAGUGGGGGAUAACUACUCGAAAGAGUGGCUAAUACCGCAUGAGAUCUACGGAUGAAAGCAGGGGAUCGCAAGACCUUGUGCUACUAGAGCGGCCGAUGGCGGAUUAGGUAGGUGGUGGGAUAAAAGCUUACCAAGCCGACGAUCUGUAGCUGGUCUGAGAGGACGAUCAGCCACACUGGGACUGAGACACGGCCCAGACUCCUACGGGAGGCAGCAGUGGGGAAUUUUGGACAAUGGGCGAAAGCCUGAUCCAGCAAUGCCGCGUGCAGGAUGAAGGCCUUCGGGUUGUAAACUGCUUUUGUACGGAACGAAAAGCCCCGGGUUAAUACCCUGGGGUCAUGACGGUACCGUAAGAAUAAGCACCGGCUAACUACGUGCCAGCCGCCGCAGUAA
This 498-nucleotide ribosomal RNA is filed under the name uncultured bacterium. Its description in RNAcentral is "partial 16S ribosomal RNA". It matches the Rfam family "Bacterial small subunit ribosomal RNA", at positions 30 to 523 of the family's 1533-position model. The record is from RNAcentral.